UCCGGGUGCGGUGGCUCACGCCUGUAAUCCCAGCACUUUGGGAGGCUCAGGCAGGUGGAUCACCUGAGGUCAGGAGUUUGAGACCAGCCUGACCGACAUGGUGAAACCCUGUCUCUAUUAAAAAUACAAAAAAAUUAGCUGGGGCUGGGGGGUGGUGUAAUCCCAGUACUUUGGGAGGCCGAGAUGGGUGGAUCAUUUGAAGUCAGGAGUUCAAGACCAGCCUGGCCAAAAUGGUGAAACCCUGUCUCU
RNAcentral lists this small RNA (249 nucleotides) under Mandrillus leucophaeus (drill). Its description in RNAcentral is "Metazoan signal recognition particle RNA (ENSMLEG00000005919.1)". The record is from RNAcentral. Lineage: Eukaryota; Metazoa; Chordata; Mammalia; Primates; Cercopithecidae.